Molecule: ribosomal RNA, 2909 nt
Filed under: Providencia stuartii
Lineage: Bacteria; Pseudomonadati; Pseudomonadota; Gammaproteobacteria; Enterobacterales; Morganellaceae
Description: 23S ribosomal RNA
Rfam family: Bacterial large subunit ribosomal RNA
Source: RNAcentral
GGUUAAGCGACUAAGCGUACACGGUGGAUGCCUAGGCAAUCAGAGGCGAUGAAGGACGUGCUAAUCUGCGAAAAGCGUCGGUAAGGUGAUAUGAACCGUUAUAGCCGACGAUGUCCGAAUGGGGAAACCCAGUGCAAUUCGUUGCACUAUCGUUUGAUGAAUCCAUAGUCAAACGAGGCGAACCGGGGGAACUGAAACAUCUCAGUACCCCGAGGAAAAGAAAUCAACCGAGAUUCCCCUAGUAGCGGCGAGCGAACGGGGAGCAGCCCAGAGUCUUAAUCAGCAUCAGCAUCAGGAGAACGGUCUGGAAAGGCCGGCAAUAAAGGGUGAUAGCCCCGUAUCCGAAGGUGUUGGUGUUGUGAACUCGACGAGUAGGGCGGGACACGUGUUAUCCUGUCUGAAUAUGGGGGGACCAUCCUCCAAGGCUAAAUACUCCUGAUUGACCGAUAGUGAACCAGUACCGUGAGGGAAAGGCGAAAAGAACCCCGGCGAGGGGAGUGAAAUAGAACCUGAAACCGUGUACGUACAAGCAGUGGGAGCCUUGAUUUAUCAGGGUGACUGCGUACCUUUUGUAUAAUGGGUCAGCGACUUAUAUUCUGUAGCAAGGUUAACCGAAUAGGGGAGCCGUAGGGAAACCGAGUCUUAACUGGGCGAAUGAGUUGCAGGGUAUAGACCCGAAACCCGGUGAUCUAGCCAUGGGCAGGUUGAAGGUUGGGUAACACUAACUGGAGGACCGAACCGACUAAUGUUGAAAAAUUAGCGGAUGACUUGUGGCUGGGGGUGAAAGGCCAAUCAAACCGGGAGAUAGCUGGUUCUCCCCGAAAGCUAUUUAGGUAGCGCCUCGUGAACUCAUCUUCGGGGGUAGAGCACUGUUUCGGCUAGGGGGUCAUCCCGACUUACCAACCCGAUGCAAACUACGAAUACCGAAGAAUGUUAUCACGGGAGACACACGGCGGGUGCUAACGUUCGUCGUGAAGAGGGAAACAACCCAGACCGCCAGCUAAGGUCCCAAAGUCAUGGUUAAGUGGGAAACGAAGUGGGAAGGCUCAGACAGCCAGGAUGUUGGCUUAGAAGCAGCCAUCAUUUAAAGAAAGCGUAAUAGCUCACUGGUCGAGUCGGCCUGCGCGGAAGAUGUAACGGGGCUAAACCAUGCACCGAAGCUGCGGCAGCGACAUGUAAAUGUUGUUGGGUAGGGGAGCGUUCUGUAAGCCUGUGAAGGUGUGCUGCGAGGCAUGCUGGAGGUAUCAGAAGUGCGAAUGCUGACAUAAGUAACGAUAAUGCGGGUGAAAAACCCGCACGCCGGAAGACCAAGGGUUCCUGUCCAACGUUAAUCGGGGCAGGGUGAGUCGACCCCUAAGGCGAGGCAGAAAUGCGUAGUCGAUGGGAAACAGGUUAAUAUUCCUGUACUGGUGAUAAUUGCGAUGGGGGGACGGAGAAGGCUAGGCUGGCCGGGCGACGGUUGUCCCGGUUUAAGGAUGUAGGUGGGCGAAUUAGGCAAAUCCGGUUCGCUAUACACUGAGGUCUGAUGACGAGUCACUACGGUGGCGAAGUAGCUCAUGCCCCGCUUCCAGGAAAAGCCUCUAAGCUCUAGAUUAUCAUUAAUCGUACCCCAAACCGACACAGGUGGUCAGGUAGAGAAUACUCAGGCGCUUGAGAGAACUCGGGUGAAGGAACUAGGCAAAAUGGUGCCGUAACUUCGGGAGAAGGCACGCUGGCAUUAGGUGAAGUGGUUUACCCAUGGAGCUGAAGCCAGUCGCAGAUACCAGCUGGCUGCAACUGUUUAUUAAAAACACAGCACUGUGCAAACACGAAAGUGGACGUAUACGGUGUGACGCCUGCCCGGUGCUGGAAGGUUAAUUGAUGGGGUUAUCCGUAAGGAGAAGCUCUUGAUCGAAGCCCCAGUAAACGGCGGCCGUAACUAUAACGGUCCUAAGGUAGCGAAAUUCCUUGUCGGGUAAGUUCCGACCUGCACGAAUGGCGUAAUGAUGGCCAGGCUGUCUCCACCCGAGACUCAGUGAAAUUGAACUCGCUGUGAAGAUGCAGUGUACCCGCGGCAAGACGGAAAGACCCCGUGAACCUUUACUAUAGCUUGACACUGAACAUUGAGCCUUGAUGUGUAGGAUAGGUGGGAGGCUUUGAAGUGUGGACGCCAGUCUGCAUGGAGCCAACCUUGAAAUACCACCCUUUAAUGUUUGAUGUUCUAACGUAGCCCCAUAAUCUGGGGUGCGGACAGUGUCUGGUGGGUAGUUUGACUGGGGCGGUCUCCUCCCAAAGCGUAACGGAGGAGCACGAAGGUUGGCUAAGCAUGGUCGGACAUCAUGCGGUUAGUGCAAAGGCAUAAGCCAGCUUGACUGCGAGAGUGACGGCUCGAGCAGGUACGAAAGUAGGUCUUAGUGAUCCGGUGGUUCUGAAUGGAAGGGCCAUCGCUCAACGGAUAAAAGGUACUCCGGGGAUAACAGGCUGAUACCGCCCAAGAGUUCAUAUCGACGGCGGUGUUUGGCACCUCGAUGUCGGCUCAUCACAUCCUGGGGCUGAAGUAGGUCCCAAGGGUAUGGCUGUUCGCCAUUUAAAGUGGUACGCGAGCUGGGUUUAGAACGUCGUGAGACAGUUCGGUCCCUAUCUGCCGUGGGCGUUGGAAGAUUGAAAGGGGCUGCUCCUAGUACGAGAGGACCGGAGUGGACGCACCGCUGGUGUUCGGGUUGUCAUGCCAAUGGCACUGCCCGGUAGCUAAGUGCGGAAGAGAUAACCGCUGAAAGCAUCUAAGCGGGAAACUUGCCUUGAGAUGAGUCUUCCCUGACUCUUUAAGGGUCCUAAAGGAACGUUUAAGACGAAGACGUUGAUAGGCUGGGUGUGUAAGCGUAGCGAUACGUUGAGCUAACCAGUACUAAUGAACCGUGAGGCUUAACCUG